AAUUAGGUGUAUGCCAUAGACUUUCAGCCCCCAAGGAGUUAUGCUUACCCCUUCAAUCCCCAAUGGGUCUGCUCCUCGACAAAUCAUUGUUCCCACCUAGACCCUUUUCCAUCUUAUCCCCAGGGAGUCGGGUCACUUUCCACAAACCUCUUCCCCGUGGAGUCUUUCUUACCAAGCGACCCACAUAAUGGUCUAGAUUCCCGACCCUAAACUGCAUGGUCCAAACUAUAUGACGUUAAACUGUAGAAGAGGUCUAUUUGCACGACCUUAAACUGCAUGGUCCUAGCUGCAUGACUUUAAACUGUAUAGACACGGUCUAAGCUAUAUGACCUUAAAACUGUAGUACACGUCCUGACAGCAUGAUGUUAAACUGAUUUGCAUAGGUUCCAGAAGCAGGACUCUAAAUAAACCUCCACACAUAUCCGCACACACCUUUUGCGAGUACCACCCUCAUAACUCCCCAGUAAAUCCAUUUUCCUUCAUCACCAGUCAUCAUUUCCCUAAUGAGUCUUACCCAUGCUCACAAAAUAA
RNAcentral lists this long non-coding RNA (531 nucleotides) under Amborella trichopoda. RNAcentral describes it as "long non-coding RNA (ATRI_LNC000948)". The record is from RNAcentral. Lineage: Eukaryota; Viridiplantae; Streptophyta; Magnoliopsida; Amborellales; Amborellaceae.